UUCAAUUGGAGCUAGAGUAGGGAUGACAAANAAAAGGUUGGAGUGAAAGAGAUGAAAGAGAAAGGGUUGAGAGGAAUGAGAGAGGUGGGUAAGGGUUUGGGGGUUUCUUUUUUUAUUUUUUUAAUUUUGAGAAUGAAAAUUAUUAAAAUACCCUUAACCUUAAAACUUAUAAUUCAUGAUAUAUAAAAGUAUUUUUGUCUACUGAAAC
This 208-nucleotide long non-coding RNA is filed under the name Vigna radiata. Its description in RNAcentral is "long non-coding RNA (VRAD_LNC002459)". Lineage: Eukaryota; Viridiplantae; Streptophyta; Magnoliopsida; Fabales; Fabaceae. The record is from RNAcentral.